GACGAACGCUGGCGGCGUGCCUAAUACAUGCAAGUAGAACGCUGAAGGAGGAGCUUGCUUCUCUGGAUGAGUUGCGAACGGGUGAGUAACGCGUAGGUAACCUGCCUGGUAGCGGUGGAUAACUAUUGGAAACGAUAGCUAAUACCGCAUAAGAGUAGAUGUUGCAUGACAUUUGCUUAAAAGGUGCAAUUGCAUCACUACCAGAUGGACCUGCGUUGUAUUAGCUAGUUGGUGGGGUAACGGCUUACCAAGGCGACGAUACAUAGCCGACCUGAGAGGGUGAUCGGCCACACUGGGACUGAGACACGGCCCAGACUCCUACGGGAGGCAGCAGUAGGGAAUCUUCGGCAAUGGACGGAAGUCUGACCGAGCAACGCCGCGUGAGUGAAGAAGGUUUUCGGAUCGUAAAGCUCUGUUGUAAGAGAAGAACGAGUGUGAGAGUGGAAAGUUCACACUGUGACGGUAUCUUACCAGAAAGGGACGGCUAACUACGUG
RNAcentral lists this ribosomal RNA (495 nucleotides) under uncultured bacterium. RNAcentral describes it as "partial 16S ribosomal RNA". It matches the Rfam family "Bacterial small subunit ribosomal RNA", at positions 28 to 507 of the family's 1533-position model. The record is from RNAcentral.